This is a non-coding RNA of Pseudonaja textilis, 251 nucleotides long. The record is from RefSeq and is a predicted model, not a curated record. NCBI's taxonomy places the organism in Eukaryota, Metazoa, Chordata, Lepidosauria, Squamata, Elapidae.
CCUGGCGCGCUCUGUGCUCUGGCUGGCUGCUCCUUUGGGGUCCCUGCCUUCCCUCUGCCGCCUGAUCGUGGUUUGGGUGCAGUUUGGGUUCUCCUCCCACUUCUGGGCUCUCUUCUGCUACUCUCUGGAAGCGGCCCUGCUGCUGCAGAACCCCACCAGCCACAGGUCCUUGACUCCUUACGGCCUCCUCUGCUGGGGGCUGCCAGCCAUCCAGGUCCUCCUUGGACUCUUGCUCCUGACGAAGCCCCAGG